Molecule: ribosomal RNA, 557 nt
Filed under: Malassezia furfur
Lineage: Eukaryota; Fungi; Basidiomycota; Malasseziomycetes; Malasseziales; Malasseziaceae
Description: LSU rRNA
Rfam family: Eukaryotic large subunit ribosomal RNA
Source: RNAcentral
CCCCUAGUAACGGCGAGUGAAGAGGGAAGAGCUCAAAUUUGAAAGCUGGUACCUUCGGUAUCCGCGUUGUAACCUCGAGACACGUUUUCCGUGCGGCGCUAUGGACAAGUUCCUUGGAACAGGACAUCGUAGAGGGUGAAAAUCCCGUACUUGCCAUGGAUGUACCGUGCUUUGCGAUACGUGCUCUAAGAGUCGAGUUGUUUGGGAUUGCAGCUCAAAAUGGGUGGUAGACUCCAUCUAAAGCUAAAUAUCGGGGAGAGACCGAUAGCGAACAAGUACCGUGAGGGAAAGAUGAAAAGCACUUUGGAAAGAGAGUUAAAAGUACGUGAAAUUGUCGAAAGGGAAGCGCUUGAAGUCAGCCAUGCCGCUCAGGACUCAGCCUGGCUUUUGCUUGGUGUAUUUCCUGGGUAGCAAGUCAGCAUUGGUUUGGAUCGUCGGAGAAGCAUAGUCGGAAUGUGGCGCCCUCGGGCGUGUUAUACCCUUCUAUUGGAUACGACGAUCUAGACCAAGGAACGCAGCGCCCCUUAUGGCGGUCUUCGGGACACCUUCGCGCUUAG